GCGGCGUACCUGGUGGAUUCGCUGUGGGACUGCGCCGGGAGCCGCCUGCGGGACUGGGACGCGGCAACGGGGCUGCUACUGGGAACCACCCUGCAGCUCCAUGAGGAGAAGGCCCUGGUGGAGAUCCUGAGCUGCAGCGCCCUCCGGCUGUGCCGGGGACACCCCCCCGAGGGACGGAGCCUGGCACGGAAGGUGUCCCCUCGGGAGCGCCGGGAGCAGCGCGAGGAGCGGGA
Molecule: long non-coding RNA, 233 nt
Organism: Melospiza melodia melodia
Lineage: Eukaryota; Metazoa; Chordata; Aves; Passeriformes; Passerellidae
Exons: 3
Source: RefSeq, a predicted model, not a curated record